CCUACGGGAGGCAGCAGUGAGGAAUAUUGGUCAAUGGACGAGAGUCUGAACCAGCCAAGUAGCGUGAAGGAUGACGGCCCUAUGGGUUGUAAACUUCUUUUAUAUGGGAAUAAAAUGUUCCACGUGUGGGAUGUUGUAUGUACCAUAUGAAUAAGGAUCGGCUAACUCCGUGCCAGCAGCCGCGGUAAUACGGAGGAUCCGAGCGUUAUCCGGAUUUAUUGGGUUUAAAGGGAGCGUAGGUGGAUUGUUAAGUCAGUUGUGAAAGUUUGCGGCUCAACCGUAAAAUUGCAGUUGAAACUGGCAGUCUUGAGUACAGUAGCGGUGGGCGGAAUUCGUGGUGUAGCGGUUACAUGCUUAGAUAUCACGAAGAACUCCGAUUGCGAAGGCAGCUCACUGGACUGCAACUGACACUGAGGCUCGAAAGCGUGGGGAGCAAACAGGAUUAGAUACCCCAGUAGUC
This 460-nucleotide ribosomal RNA is filed under the name uncultured bacterium. RNAcentral's name for it is "partial 16S ribosomal RNA". It matches the Rfam family "Bacterial small subunit ribosomal RNA", at positions 338 to 795 of the family's 1533-position model. The record is from RNAcentral.